RNAcentral lists this non-coding RNA (24 nucleotides) under Arabidopsis thaliana (thale cress). Lineage: Eukaryota; Viridiplantae; Streptophyta; Magnoliopsida; Brassicales; Brassicaceae. The record is from RNAcentral.
ACCAAAAUGGUGUUUAGCCUUGGA